Molecule: small nucleolar RNA, 129 nt
Organism: Gopherus agassizii (Agassiz's desert tortoise)
Lineage: Eukaryota; Metazoa; Chordata; Testudines; Testudinidae
Source: Ensembl
CUGCACUGCUGAGUGGCUGGUUGGUCUCCUCCUUGACCUGAGUCUCAUUACAGUGCAAGAUGAACUCCCUUCUAGCAGAGGGGCCAGACUAUUUCAGUGGUCUGUCUCUUUAGAUAGUUGGGUACAAAC